This 301-nucleotide ribosomal RNA is filed under the name uncultured bacterium. Its description in RNAcentral is "partial 16S ribosomal RNA". It matches the Rfam family "Bacterial small subunit ribosomal RNA", at positions 509 to 807 of the family's 1533-position model. The record is from RNAcentral.
CAGCCGCCGCGGUAAUACGAAGGGUGCAAGCGUUAAUCGGAAUUACUGGGAGUAAAGCGCGCGUAGGUGGUUUGGUAAGAUGGAUGUGAAAUCCCCGGGCUCAACCUGGGAACUGCAUCCAUAACUGCCUGACUAGAGUACGGUAGAGGGUGGUGGAAUUUCCUGUGUAGCGGUGAAAUGCGUAGAUAUAGGAAGGAACACCAGUGGCGAAGGCGACCACCUGGACUGAUACUGACACUGAGGUGCGAAAGCGUGGGGAGCAAACAGGAUUAGAUACCCCUGUAGUCCCUGUCUCUUAUAC